Malaclemys terrapin pileata is the source of this 1124-nucleotide long non-coding RNA. RefSeq lists it as uncharacterized. NCBI's taxonomy places the organism in Eukaryota, Metazoa, Chordata, Testudines, Emydidae. The transcript is spliced from 3 exons. The record is from RefSeq and is a predicted model, not a curated record.
GCUGCCAAGGCAAACUCUGCAGCGGCACGUGGGUACGGUCCAAGCACCUCCCCGGAGAGGUGUCGUAAAGGACGAUGCGGUUAGCAUUGACAUGCCAGUGACCGCUGGCCCGGAUCAGAGGGAAGAGAGAAUCUCAUGGAUUUCAUGCCGGGCUAUUUCUUUACCGUCACGCAGCAAAGAAUGGAGCGGAAGCGGCCGUGCACAGAGCAGGAGCUGCAAUACGCCUGCUGGCUGAGGAGGCUUUCUCGGGAAAUACACCAGGGACGAGAACAAGGUCAGAAUGCGGCAUCGCAAUGAUUUUCCUCCUGCAGGAGGCUCAGGGUUACAGACUAACAUUUACCCUCCCGUGCAGGUGGGUUUUAAAGCUCUAGGGUGGACGCUGAGUAGCGGCAGCAGCUAUUCCUUUGCACCAGAGACGGGUCAGAUCCUGGUGGAUCAUGAAGAUUGAACCCUCUCCUGCUCCCUCAGAGUUUGGGUCUAAACACUGUGAACCGUCCAAUCUGGAUCCAACUCCGGCUACUUCUGUGUGGAUUCCAUGAUUUCUGCGAACAUCUCGUCUCGUGUCUUCUUUUUCCGACGCCUUAUCUGAGAUAGCCUUCGGGACGGAGGAGGGAAGCUUGAAGAAUUUGCAGCUGCUGGAGGGAGGGAAAAAAGGAGAGAAUUUUUUAAAAAGAUACAUUUUGCAGAAUAAUGCUUAUACUCUUUCACGGUAGAGAUCACAGACGCAGGUCCUGGCAACAGAAUUCGGCUUGCAUGCGGCCAUGGUUACCAUGAGCGAUAUCACUCUCCUGAGGAUUACACAACAAGAUAAAGAACGGAUGUUGCUUGAAUGCCAGCAAACACCGGGACCAUACGCUGCCAGGCUUUGUCAGGCAAUGAUACCAGAUUACUUGCUGCAAGCAUGGCGUGGUCAAGUGUCCUACCAUGGAGGAGGGAAUAAGGAUGCACUGCCCAGAAACCUUGUGGCAAGGCUUUCGGAGUACCUCCAGGAGAGCUUCAUGGAGAUGUCCCUGGAGGAUUUCCGCUCCGUCCCCAGACACGUUAACAGACUUUUCCAGUAGCUGUACUGGCUGCGAAUGCAUCCCAAGUCCUCAGGGCAAAGUAAUCAUUAAAAAACGCUUGCU